This 468-nucleotide ribosomal RNA is filed under the name uncultured bacterium. Its description in RNAcentral is "partial 16S ribosomal RNA". It matches the Rfam family "Bacterial small subunit ribosomal RNA", at positions 28 to 507 of the family's 1533-position model. The record is from RNAcentral.
GACGAACGCUGGCGGCGUGCUUAACACAUGCAAGUCGAACGGAAAGGCCCUGCUUUUGUGGGGUGCUCGAUUGGCGAACGGGUGAGUAACACGUGAGUAACCUGCCCUUGACUUUGGGAUAACUUCAGGAAACUGGGGCUAAUACCGGAUAGGAGCUCCUGCUGCAUGGUGGGGGUUGGAAAGUUUCGGCGGUUGGGGAUGGACUCGCGGCUUAUCAGCUUGUUGGUGGGGUAGUGGCUUACCAAGGCUUUGACGGGUAGCCGGCCUGAGAGGGUGACCGGCCACAUUGGGACUGAGAUACGGCCCAGACUCCUACGGGAGGCAGCAGUGGGGAAUAUUGCACAAUGGGCGGAAGCCUGAUGCAGCAACGCCGCGUGCGGGAUGACGGCCUUCGGGUUGUAAACCGCUUUCGCAUGUGACGAAGCGUGAGUGACGGUAAUGGGUAAAGAAGCACCGGCUAACUACGUG